This 75-nucleotide transfer RNA is filed under the name Sulfurovum sp. RNAcentral describes it as "tRNA-Gln". It matches the Rfam family "tRNA". From Rfam's summary of the family: Transfer RNA (tRNA) molecules are approximately 80 nucleotides in length. Their secondary structure includes four short double-helical elements and three loops (D, anti-codon, and T loops). RNAcentral also lists the same sequence under 2 other names. Lineage: Bacteria; Pseudomonadati; Campylobacterota; Epsilonproteobacteria; Campylobacterales; Sulfurovaceae. The record is from RNAcentral.
UGGGGUAUGGCCAAGCGGUAAGGCAUCAGUUUUUGGUACUGACAUUCGGGGGUUCGAAUCCCUCUACCCCAUCCA